RNAcentral lists this ribosomal RNA (494 nucleotides) under uncultured bacterium. RNAcentral's name for it is "partial 16S ribosomal RNA". It matches the Rfam family "Bacterial small subunit ribosomal RNA", at positions 28 to 507 of the family's 1533-position model. The record is from RNAcentral.
GACGAACGCUGGCGGCGUGCUUAACACAUGCAAGUCGAACGGAAAGGCCUGCUUUCCCUUGUGGAUUGCGGGUACUCGAGUGGCGAACGGGUGAGUAACACGUGAGUGAUCUGCCCCCAACUUGGGUAUAAGCCUGGGAAACUGGGUCUAAUUCCCGAUAGGACUGCAGGGUGGUGCCUGUGGUGGAAAACGAUUUUCUAGUGGUUGGGGAUGAGCUCGCGGCCUAUCAGCUUGUUGGUGGGGUAAUGGCCUACCAAGGCGGCGACGGGUAGCCGGCCUGGGAGAGUGGACGGGAACGGUGGGACUGAGAUACGGCCCAGACGCCUACGGGAGGCAGCAGUCGGGAAUAUUGAACGAUGGGCGGAGGCCUGAUGCAGGGACGCCGCGUGGGGGAUGACGGCCUUCGGGUUGUAAACUCCUGGCGGCCGCGAGGAAGCCACCUGGUUGGAAGGGUGGUGACGGUAGUGGGAGAAGAAGCACCGGCUAACUACGUG